This 333-nucleotide ribosomal RNA is filed under the name uncultured bacterium. RNAcentral's name for it is "bacterial SSU rRNA". It matches the Rfam family "Bacterial small subunit ribosomal RNA", at positions 8 to 334 of the family's 1533-position model. The record is from RNAcentral.
AGAGUUCGAUUAUGGCUCAGGACGAACGCUGGCGGCGCGCCUAACACAUGCAAGUCGAACGGAGCUGAGAGGAGCUUGCUUUUCUUAGCUUAGUGGCGAACGGGUGAGUAACGCGUGAGUAACCUGCCCUGGAGUGGGGGACAACAGUUGGAAACGACUGCUAAUACCGCAUAAGCCCACGAUCCGGCAUCGGAUUGAGGGAAAAGGAUUUAUUCGCUUCAGGAUGGACUCGCGUCCAAUUAGCUAGUUGGUGAGGUAACGGCCCACCAAGGCGACGAUUGGUAGCCGGACUGAGAGGUUGAACGGCCACAUUGGGACUGAGACACGGCCCAG